Molecule: ribosomal RNA, 253 nt
Filed under: uncultured bacterium
Lineage: Bacteria
Description: partial 16S ribosomal RNA
Rfam family: Bacterial small subunit ribosomal RNA
Source: RNAcentral
UACGGAGGGUGCAAGCGUUGUUCGGAAUUACUGGGCGUAAAGCGCGUGUAGGCGGUCGCUUAAGUCUGAUGUGAAAGCCCGGGGCUCACCUCCGGAAGAGCAUUGGAAACUGAGCGACUCGAGUGCCGGAGAGGAGGGUGGAAUUCCUGGUGUAGCGGUGAAAUGCGUAGAUAUCAGGAGGAACACCGGUGGCGAAGGCGGCCCUCUGGACGGAUACUGACGCUGAGACGCGAAAGCGUGGGGAGCAAACAGG